GCUAGCAAGCUAGCAGUCAUCAUUAUGAAUCAAGUCGACAAUCGACUUGCAAAUCCUUUUCAAUCCUUGUCAUAUGAAGAGAAAUUAUUGAUAAAACCUAUCGGUACUCAUCGGCCAUUGGACAUAAACAUUACACAGCAAGUUAGAAAUAGCAAAUUCAACAAUGAGUGGUUUGGAAGAAAUCAGUGGCUAACUGUAAGCCUGCUAUUCAGUGGAGUGGAUGUGUCCAAGUCUGGGUUUAAUGGUCUCUUUUCCAAGUUUAAAAGGAUAAACAUUCAACAAUGGCCAUGCGGCCAAUCCAGCAUGACUUCUGCCGCUUUCAAAACAACUGGAAACUCGCAACUGGGAAAUUUCAGACUUCAGUGAGUUCAAGACAACUGGGAACUCUGAAAAAAAACGAGCUCCGACUGGGAAAAUACGUUUUGAACGGUCAUCCAACUCGGUAUUCCAUGUUGGGAACUCAGGCCUCUUUCUAGAGCUCCGACCUGAAGAUCACUAACGUCAUGAUUCGAACUUGUUUUUUUCUGAGUUCCCAGUUGUCUUGAAAGCACCAUAAAUCCAGAGAAUGACAGACUUUGAUAACAAAGUUUGAUGACAAAACUUGCACCACCAAGAUUGCCAUGCUAAAAUCUCCACUGUCUACAAUACAGCAUACAGCAUCCCACAAUAUUUCCUAGCCAUAUAUGUUGUGUCUCUUGCUGGAGCGAACUGACAUCUAAUGUCUUCAAUGGGAGAAACAGGUUGUGUUGAUGGAUGAGGCCUUGGUUUGUCUCCCAGAUCAUGCUUCUGAAGCCCUCAUCCACCUGAGAAAGACAAGCCAAAAGCCCCACAAGUUAUUGGCAUCAUGAUUCAUCUCUAUGGGGCAAAUCGUAACACAAGGGUGAUAUGCGCAUCCUAAACUUCUACUUAAGUCACAUUUUCACCCAGCUAGCACACUUGGUUCCUUGGAAGCUGUGGGAACGUACAUUUUUGGUUUCCUAUUGGUUCUGGGAAUGUUUUUUUAAGAUUCUGAGAACAGAAGUGAACAUGUUCUGGGAAUGUACAUUUUUGGGAUGCAGAGAGGUUCUGAGAAUGUUUUACUAUGAUUCCCUGAAAGUUUUCCUGGGUGGUUUUAUUAGCGUUAUGAGAACGCUAGGUUAUUUGAAGGUAAUUAAAUAACGCUCUGAGAACAUUCUCUAAAUGUUGUGAAUGUUUUGAAAGAAAUGUAAAAGUUUUUUGGAGGUUUUUGAAUAAUUUCCUUUAAACUUUCACUGAAUGUUUCAAUAAGACAUUUAAUAACACUGCUAGAUUAGUUUGGGCUAACUGUUUUGAAUUCCAAGUACAGAGAUGACACGUGGACAUUUAUUUGCUUAGGCAUUAAAAUUAGUCCAAUGCGUCACCAGGAUGGAGGAAGCAUGCCAUGUUUUUUUUAACUCAAAGAAAGCUGUUCAAACAGACCCUAUUUCAAAAGAACCAAGCACUCGUUAAGUUCAGGUGUGGGCAAUUAGUGGGCUCGGCUAACAUACCUGAACACACUAAACAAGAUAGCGUUUUGUUGACACUGAAAACAGAAUGUAUAUGUUUUUAAAUAAGAUUCUUAGAACAUUCUUUGAACAUUACUACAGUUUUCUUGUUGUUUUAUGGAUAGUUUUCUUAAUGUUCUGAGAAUGUGAAUGUUCUGAGAACACUUUAAACAGAACCAUAAGGAAACCUGUAGGAAACGUUAUGCUGAAGUACGGAAAUUCCACAGAAGAACGUUGUUUCUUAACAUUCUCGGAACAAUUUGAGAAUAUUACUUUAAAUAGAACCCUGAGAAAACAUGUAGGUAGCAUCAAGCUGAAGCACAGAAAUUCCCACAGAAGAACGUUGUUUCUUAACCUCUAUGGGAUCUGUGUCCCUAAACCAGGAUGGUUGUUGCUAAUGUGCACUAACGUGACUAGAAUGACGUUAGUGCAUGAAUUUCCAGGACAUAGACAAGUCUUAUAUGGGCAGAAAGCUUAAAUUUUUCUUAAUCUAACUGCACUGUGUCGUAGGGUGUAGACCAAAAUGCAGCGGGAAAAUGUAUACUCAUCUUUUUAUUAGUGAAGAAGGAAAACACAAACAACGUAUACAAAAACAAACGAACUAGACAGUCUCGUCAGGCACACAGCAAAACAAGAAACAAUCUCCCACAAAAUCCCAUGACAAACACACUCCUAAAUAUAGGACCUUCAAUCAGAGGCAACGAUAGACAGCUGCCUCCAAUUGAAGGCCCCAUUCCCCAUGACCAAAACAUAGAAAUACAAACACCUAGACAGAACAUAGAAAUAAACUAACAUAGAACGAUAACCCAAAAACCCCGGAAUACAUAAAUCAAAUACCCGUCUACAUGAACACAUACACAAACACACCCUAAACCACAUAAAACAAAUACCCCCUGCCACGUCCUGACCAAACUACAAGAACAAAUAACCCCUUUACUGGUCAGGACGUGACACACUGUCCAAUUUAGAGUAACUAUUACAGUGAAAAAAUACCAUGCUAUAUUUAAAGAGAGUGCACAACAACAAAACGCUUUUAUCACGGCAACUGGUUUGAUACAGUCACCUUUAAAGGUAAAUAAUGUAGUUUCAUUCAGUAAUCUUGCUCUGAUUUGUCAUCCUGAGGGUUCCAGAGAUAAAAAGUAGCAUAGUUGUGUUUGAUAAAUACAUUUUUAUAUUCAAAUGUAGGAACUGGGUUCUACAGUUUGAACCCUUGCUGUUUCACAUUUCC
This 2730-nucleotide long non-coding RNA is filed under the name Salmo salar (Atlantic salmon). RNAcentral describes it as "lncRNA (ENSSSAG00000089144.1)". The record is from RNAcentral. Lineage: Eukaryota; Metazoa; Chordata; Actinopteri; Salmoniformes; Salmonidae.